UUGAAAGGGGUGCUGGCAAAGCCGGCUGAGAUCGCGAAAGCGGAACCCUCGAACCUGAUACGGAUAAUGCCGGCGUAGGAAAAAA
RNAcentral lists this non-coding RNA (85 nucleotides) under bovine gut metagenome. RNAcentral describes it as "TPP riboswitch (THI element)". The stretch from base 6 to 81 matches the Rfam family "TPP riboswitch aptamer (THI element)", at positions 11 to 88 of the family's 105-position model. Rfam says of the family: Vitamin B(1) in its active form thiamin pyrophosphate (TPP) is an essential coenzyme that is synthesised by coupling of pyrimidine and thiazole moieties in bacteria. The previously detected thiamin-regulatory element, thi box was extended, resulting in a new, highly conserved RNA secondary structure, the THI element, which is widely distributed in eubacteria and also occurs in some archaea. Analysis of operon structures identified a large number of new candidate thiamin-regulated genes, mostly transporters, in various prokaryotic organisms. The record is from RNAcentral.